CACCAGUGACGCCUAGCAGCAUGUAGUGGCAAUCCAGUCAGAAGUGAAUAUCGGACUGAACCUCUAGGUGCAGUUACCGUACAAUACAAUCCUUCUAUCGCAUAGUUCCAACUGAGUGGAGGUCAUGGAAUAUUCGUCAAACCCCAUCACCCGUCAUAUGACAAAUUUGAUCAGACAGAAGCUCUCAUGGUUACUCUUGGAAACAUCUUUCCAUACACCAUAUUACCCCGGCCGAGGAUUUCUGAGCUUUGCCUUACAAAUAGCAUAGAACUAAUUAUCUCUCUACCGAGAGCGAUAGAUCCCCUAUAAACACAGACCCAUUCCUGAUAUGAACCGACUGCAGCCAACAUAUACUACUAAGACCCAUGGCUAGGAUCAGAGUUUGUUGCAUAGUCAAACUACAGUAGCCUCAUAUUGAAUGACCGUGGUGUCGCAGGUCUAAGGAUCAGUUGUACCACUGCAACAUCGAACCAGUUACUGACGAAUGAGUAGACAUCCAUGCAACUGCUCGUAGUUGGUCACGCUCAGUACCGUUGUUCUCCAACAACCACCUGCAUGUUCGCUCCAGUGUCCCCACACUGAUGACUCGAGAUUCGUCAUCCCAAAAGGAAAGCGGCACACACAUCAAUCUUACCGGAUCUAUCAUCGUCCCCAUGAUGAUCCUCCGAUUGAGAGCAUUUAUGAAUUAAUCACCAAUAAUAUGUAUCUCAAAUUCUCAACUCUUGAGAAUACAUAUUAUCAUCUUAUUAAUUCAAAGGACGAUUCAUGGACACAUUUAACAUGAAUGGAAUAAAAAGCCCAAUUAUAUAAAUAAUAAAGAUUAAGUACAAAUAUAUGUCCCAUAGAAAAUAAAAUGCGUCAGCCUGAUAGGCUUCUACGGCAUACAACUAACAAUCUCCCACUUGCACUAAAGCCAAUCAGCCAUGUAUCUAAUGCCCAUCUUCUCAAGAUGAUUCUCAAGUUUCUGCUGAGUCGAUGCCUUAGUUAGUGGGUCCGCCACAUUAUCCGCGGAGGCAACAUUCUGUACUAGUCUCUUGUUUGGAACUUUUCCAAAUUAUUGACCCACCAUUGCAAAUAAACAGAUUCCCAGACGUAGACUUUCUAUCGUCUAUAUCAGACAUAAAGUCUGAAUCUGCAUAGCCAUUAAUUCUGAGUUCUCCUCAUCCAAAAACCAAGGACACAUCCUUUGUUUUUCUCAAGUACUUAAGGAUAUUCUUUACCGCUACCCAAUGUUCCUGUCCUGGGUUCGACUGAUAUCGGCUUGUGACACUCACAGCCUGUGCUAUAUCAGGUCGAGUACAUAGCAUCGCAUACAUUAAGCUCCCUAUUGCUGAAGCAUAAGGGAUCCUGCUCAUGUGACUUCUCUCUUUAGAUGUCUUAGGAGACAUAGUCUUAGAGAGGUGAAUUCCAUGUCUUAAAGGUACCAUACCCCUUUUGGAAUUCUCCAUGCUGAACCUUUUCAACACUUCAUCUAUGUACAUAGCUUGCGAUAAACCAAGCAACUUCUUAGGUCUAUCCCUAUAGACCUUUAUCCCUGGGAUAUAAGAUGCUUCUCCAAGGUCUUUCAUAGAAAACUCUUUAGAUAACCAUAACUUGACCGAUGUUAGCAUAGGAAUGUCAUUCCCAAUCAGGAGUAUGUCGUACAGUACGAGGAAAGUAACAGCACUCCCACUAAUCUUUUUAUAUACACACGCCUCUUCCUCAUUUCUGAUGAAAUUGAACGAUUCAAUUGCAUCAUUGAAACGAGUGUUCCAACUCCGAGAAGCUUGCUUCAAUCCAUAAAUGGAUCGUUGAAGCUUGCACACCUUAUGACUCUCAUCUUUGGAAGUGAAACCCAAAGGCUGCUCCAUAUAGAUAUCUUCUUCAAGAUAUCCAUUUAGGAAGGCAGUUUUCACAUCCAUUUGCCAGAUCUCAUAGUCAUAGUGUGCAGCAAUAGCAAGGAGAGUUCUGAUAGACUUAAGCAUAACUACGGGUGAAAAGGUAUCCUGAUAGUCAAUGCCUUCGCGUUGACUAUAACCUUUUGCUACUAGCCUAGCUUUAUAGGUCUCUACCUUUCCAUCAGAACCAAUCUUUCUCUUAAAGAUCCAUUUACAUCCAAUGAGUACAAUACCCUCUGGUGGAUCAACCAAAGUCCAUACUUGAUUGGAGUACAUUGAGUCCAUUUCGGACUUCAUAGCUUCUAACCAUUUAUCGGAGUCGAUGUCUGACAUCGCCUCGCUAUAAGUCUUAGGAUCAUCUCUAUGGUCCUUAUCUCCCAUUAGGAACAUUUCCUCCAUCUCCUCUAUAAAUAAUCCCAUGUAUCUAUCAGGACGACGGGAGACCCUACUAGACUUGCGAGGUGGCGGUGUAACUUCAAGUGUCAUAGAGUUAUCAGGGAGGGCUCUUGGAAUAUUUGAUUCUAAAGAGACUUUCUCCUCUAGUUCUAUUUUUCUCCCACUGCCUCCAGCCAAAAUAAAUUCACUUUCAAGAAAGAAGGCAUGACGGCUCACAAUCACAUUAUGGCCUUCUGGGAGAUAAAAAUAGUACCCAAGUGAUUCUUUGGGAUACCCAAUGAAUCUACCCUUGACUGAUCUGCUUUCCAACUUGUCCGUUUUUAAUUUCUUAAUAUAAGCUGGACAUCCCCAAGUUUUAAUAUGAGUAAAACUUGGCUUCCUACCGUGCCACAUCUCAUAUGGUGUGGUCGGAACAGAUUUGGAAGGCACUUUGUUUAGAAUAUAAAUAGCCGUAAGAAGUGCGUAACCCCAAAACGAUAUAGGUAAAUCUGUAAAGCUCAUCAUGGAUCGAACCAUAUCUAAUAAAGUUCGAUUUCUCCGUUCAGACACCCCAUUCAAUUCUGGUGUUCCAGGAGGAGUCCAUUGAGAGACAAUACCAUUAUCCUUGAGAUAGGUUAGGAAAUCCGUACUAAGGUAUUCCCCUCCUCGAUCUGAUCGAAGAGCCUUAAUUGGUUUUUCCAUUUGCUUUUCUACUUCUUGUCUAAACUCUUUAAACUUUUCAAAAGCUUCAGACUUGUGUUUAAUUAAGUACACGUACCCAUACCGUGAAUAAUCAUCAGUAAAGGUAAUGAAGUAGAGAUAGCCACCCCAAGCAGACACAUCGAAUGGUCCACAUACAUCAGUAUGUAUUAGGGCGAGUACUUCAGUAGCUCUCUCUCCUUGUCCAACAAAAGAAGACUUAGUCAUUUUUCCUUGAAGACAUGAUUCACAAGCUGGGUAUGGUUCAGAGGGUAAGGACCCUAAGACACCAUUCUUAGCCAACUUGUUAAUCCUAUCCUCUCCAAUGUGACCAAGUCUAAGAUGCCACAAAUACGUUUUAUUUACCUCCUCUCUUGGUCUUUUGAAACCAAUGAUAUUCUCAUUCAUGCCAUUAUCAAUUGUAUUAACACUAACAUCCAUAUGUAAGUGAUAGAGAUUGUCAAUUAAAGAACCAUAACCGAUCAAAUUAUUUCUCAAAUAAAUUGAACAAACGUUUGAUUCAAAAAUAAACUUAUAACCAUCCAUUACCAAACGUGAAAUAGAAAUAAGGUUUCUAGUCGCACUAGGAACAUAAAGACAAUCUCUAAGUUCUAAAACUACUCCUGUCGGUAGACAUAAAGGAUAAGUCCCCACGGCAACAGCAGCAACUCUUGCCCCGUUUUCAACGCGUAGGGUAAGCUCUCCAUCCCUAAGUCUUCUACUUUGUUUUAUCCCCUGCAUUGAAAUACAUAAAUGCGAGGUGCAUCCACAGUCAAUGACCCAUGUAAAAGUAGAACAAACCGAUAAGUUAGUAGUUUCAAUGACAUGAAUUUCGGACAUACCUUCAAAAGUCUUGUCCUUUACCUUGUCUUUGAGGCUAGCUAAAUAAUCCGGGCAAUUCCUUUUCCAGUGGCCAUCCUUUUGACAGUGGAAACAAGUUCCUUUAGCGGCCUUCUUUUUAGGAAUUACCUUAGCAGGUUCAGUCUUUGGCUUUUUCGCAGGCUUCUUCUUUCUCCAUUUAGACUUUCUUUUGGAGGAAGUGCGUUAAAUAGCCAAAACUGACCCCUUAUUGACUUUUAUCAUUCCUUCAGCUGUGACCAACAUAUUCAACAGCUCGGCGAGAGUGCAAGUAAUUUUAUUCAUUUGAAAAUUUAAGGUGAACUGAGAAAAUGAAUCUGGUAAGGAUUGUAAGAUCAAAUCUGUUUGGAGUUCUGCGUCCAUAGUCAUUCCGAGCUUCUCAAGCUCCUCAAUGUCUUUAAUCAUUGCCAAGCAAUGAUUAUUGACUGACUGACCAUCAGACAUCUUAGCUCUGAACAGUCGCUUUGACACCUCGUAGCGGGCUGUUCGACUUUGCUCAUCAUACAACUCCUUGAGAUGGAGCAAAAUAUCAGCAGCACUCUCCAUGUGCUCAUGCUGGCGUUGCAACUCAUUGCUCAUAGACGCAAGCAUGUAGCAUUUUACCUUCAUAUCGUCAUCAGUCCAUUUAUUUCUUGCAGCUAUUUGUUGAGCCGUCGAAUUUUCGAGCACCGCUGGAGCCUCCGUGUCCAACACAUAGGCUAAUUUUUCAGAAUUGAGAACAAUUCUCAAAUUCCUUAGCCAAUCGGUAAAAUUCGGUCCAGUUAAGCGAUUAGUAUCAAGUAUUUUGGCAAGUGGGUUAGAUACAGCCAUUUUCUGCAAAAGGUUAAUAUUCUAAUUAGUUGUGUACUUAAUCAUAAUCUAUUUGAUUAGGGUCUUUAAAUCUAAAUGGUGUCUCCCACUAAUUUUGGCGAAUCUCCACACUCCCCGAGCGGAGAAAACGGAAACUUUACUUAAAAGUUUCUAGUGGGUAUUGCGGUCCCAUCUGUUUACACACCACCUCAUCCUGACAGAUUCUUGGCAAUGAGCAAACAAAUAAGUGAACAACUCUUGUUCAAUGCUUCUCAAGCAAAUUGCAAUCUAAUCCUUGGCCUCCAUAAGAUAUAGGCCUCAUCCUGACAGAUUCUUGGCUUUAUCUCGUGGUUAAGUUAGACCCACCGUUCAUCGUGCAAAUAAGAAUGUCAUUGAAUCCUCAUUCUGACAGAUUCUUGGAUUCAACCCCUUUCUUACCGCACAGCAUCUCAUGCCAAUAGAAUGGUUGCGGCUCCCUAAUGCAACUGACCCCCGUAUCCGGGUGCAUCAAUCAACACUAAAGAGACGCCCACACCCUACAACGGUGGAAGGCCACUAAUGGGUUCAUAACACCAUUAACUUAAUAUUUUAUUUAGGGAGAUUAGUUGUCUCAUCAGUUUUAAUUUAUUAUUAAUUUACAUCUCAUGCAAACCAUCACAUCACAUGCAUACAUACAUCGCAUAUAUAAAAAUAACUACCGGUGAUGAUCAUGGAUUUUAUCUUGAUUCGGGCCUGAGCCACUAGGCCGGAAUCGGGUCAUAAGGGUAUUACACACAAGAAAACCUUUUCUUAUUUUGCGUCUCGAUCGGAUUUGAGUUGAUCAACUCUUGUCUUCUCCCUUGAUCAGCAUCUGGUCCAAACUUGAUCCGCAUCGCAUCAACUCUUGAAUACAACGAAUCCCUCUGGAACCUAAACUACCCUUUUGCCUUCUUAAUUUUACAACAAUAACUUUACAACCCAUAAAAUUAAUGAGACACGCAGGUCUCCAAAUUACAUAAUUUAAUUGGCACGCGCAGGCACCAAAAAAAAAUAUAAUCUAAUACUGGAUCCUUAUCAAAUCACAAAAAUUCACAUCAUCACAUGAUACAUGCACAUCACAAGGUCGCUAUCCAUGAUCAUCACCUCAUAUACAUCACAUGCAUAUAAUAUUAAAUUCUCUAAUUCGAAUUCUAGUUAAUUGGGAUUUUAUUUAAAAAAAAUAUUUAAUUCGUUCCACGCUGCAUGUUCAUGAUGCCCACGGCAUGUAAUGCAAGAGGUCAAUUAAUUAGCAUGCCAUACUCAAAGAUAAAUUAUAGGUAUCAAUAUGGCCAUGCAAAUUUAAUUAAUAUCUCAUGCCAUCCUUGUAUCAUGACUUCAUUAAUUAGCAUUAGCAAACAUUGAGAAGCAUGACGUCUAAAGAAUUCAUGCACGUGAAGCCAUGAAGGCAAAACCGAGUCAACAUAUAAUUAAAUGGCCAUGCCAAGACCGCAUGCUGCAUGCACUACGUGCACAUCACACGCGAUGCAAGAACGUCGGCUAACAGUUGCGCGUGCAUCGUUGUAGUUACCGAUAACAACAACGAUUUCCAUGAAUAUAAUUUUAUUACGAUCUUAUCAUUGAUUCGAAACAAUCUAGUAUUGUUCGAAAAAUCGAUCUUCAUCGUUUUUGAUCGAUCGUUCCAAAAACCCCAAUUAACAUCGAAAAGAGAUUAGAUCUAAAGCAAACGACGAGGGUGGCUCUGAUACCACUGUAAGAAAAUCAUGUGUACGCAGCGGAAGAAAAUAACACAAUUAAAAAUUUUCUUGAAAACCAAAGAUCACCUCGUGUUUCGUUUUAGAUCAUUAAUAGUAGAUCUAAUUGAUCUAAUCAAAUAGGAUCUAUAUUAUUUUAUUUUACCUCGCGCGGGUCGAGAUCACCGCGAAGUCGACAAUCAUUGGUAAAAUUUGUUCGUCCUCGGUUAGCCGCGCACGCGCCCGGCCUCUACUCGCGUCCACACGAAAUCACGCCCUUGAUCGAAUUAGACGACCGCUUCAAUCCGUGAUCCGAUCACGAAUUAACUCUUGCGUCGACUUGAGGAAGAUAAAUCGAUCUUCUAGAUGUGCUAGCAACUUUUGAAGAUCGAAACCGAUGGAUUAAUUAUGGAGAACUUGAGGAAGAAAGAGGAUUGACGGCUAGGGUUUUCUAUUUCUCUUGUAUUAAUUUUCUAUAUAUUUUUAAUAUGUCAUAUGACAUAUAUUUAUAAUGAGAAAACCCUAACGUAAUCCUAAUCGAAAUCCUAUUCCGAUUAGAUUAUCCAUUAACCCAUAAGUUGGUUAUGAUAUUAACCGAAUUUUGAAUCCUAAUUCUAAUUCGAUUCGUGUGUAACAUUUACACAUAAGUCCUCAUAUUAUUUACUAACGAUAAGUAAAUACACCAUGCAGCUUUUACACAUAAAUACCUCUAAUUUACAACAAUUGCAAAUUAGUCCUUUUACUAAUAAAUUAGUAAAAUUUAGUAUUUAACUAUAUUGUAAUUAUAAUUAAUCCAUCCGAUAAACUUCUUUUAUCGUAUCUUAAAUAUCGAUCAUGCGCAAUUUCUUAUGUGUGUGACCUAAUAGGUUCAAUUCUGUCUGGUAGUGAGAUAUGAUGCGAUCUCCAUCUACAUCAUCAUCGAAACUCCUUUCGAUGGCUCAAACUCUUUUGACUCUACCCUAAUAGAAUAAUUAAUUGUUAAUAAUUAUUUUUAUUGGUUCCCACAAUCCACCAGUGACGCCUAGCAGCAUGUAGUGGCAAUCCAGUCAGAAGUGAAUAUCGGACUGAACCUCUAGGUGCAGUUACCGUACAAUACAAUCCUUCUAUCGCAUAGUUCCAACUGAGUGGAGGUCAUGGAAUAUUCGUCAAACCCCAUCACCCGUCAUAUGACAAAUUUGAUCAGACAGAAGCUCUUAUGGUUACUCUUGGAAACAUCUUUCCAUACACCAUAUUACCCCGGCCGAGGAUUUCUGAGCUUUGCCGUACAAAUAGCAUAGAACUAAUUAUCUCUCUACCGAGAGCGAUAGAUCCCCUAUAAACACACACCCAUUCCUGAUAUGAACCGACUGCAGCCAACAUAUACUACUAAGACCCAUGGCUAGGAUCAGAGUUUGUUGCAUAGUCAAACUACAGUAGCCUCAUAUUGAAUGGCCGUGGUGUCGCAGGUCUAAGGAUCAGUUGUACCACUGCAACAUCGAACCAGUUACUGACGAAUGAGUAGACAUCCAUGUAACUGUUCGUAGUUGGUCACGCUCAGUACCCUUGUUCUCCAACAACCACCUGCAUGUCCGCUCCAGUGUCCCCACACUGAUGACUUGAGAUUCGUCAUCCCAAAAGGGAAGCGGCACACACAUCAAUCUUACCGGAUCAAUCAUCGUCCCCAUGAUGAUCCUCCGAUUGAGAGCAUUUAUGAAUUAAUCACCAAUAAUAUGUGUCUCAAAUUCACAACUCUUGAGAAUACAUAUUAUCAUCUUAUUAAUUCAAAGGACGAUUCAUGGACACAUUUAACAUGAAUGGAAUAAAAAGCCCAAUUAUAUAAAUAAUAAAGAUUAAGU
This 8142-nucleotide long non-coding RNA is filed under the name Ananas comosus (pineapple). RNAcentral's name for it is "long non-coding RNA (ACOM_LNC042456)". The record is from RNAcentral. Lineage: Eukaryota; Viridiplantae; Streptophyta; Magnoliopsida; Poales; Bromeliaceae.